Long non-coding RNA from Sapajus apella (tufted capuchin), 1735 nucleotides. RefSeq lists it as uncharacterized. Lineage: Eukaryota; Metazoa; Chordata; Mammalia; Primates; Cebidae. The record is from RefSeq and is a predicted model, not a curated record. The transcript has 3 exons.
CUCGGAGGUGGCAGGCCAGAACCUGAGCCCGGCUCUACCUCCGCGAACUUUACACAGAGGCCGACACCCAAAUCCCCACUUCUCGGACAAGCGAGUAAGUAGUUGGCGGAGCAAAGAACAACUCCAGGUGCCUCCUGCCAGAACAGAUGCCAGCGUGGAGGAGGUGCUGUGUAAAAUGGCACUUCAAUCAGCCGUGAGGAGAACGGGUUACAGAGCCUCACUUCCAGCCUCGACGAUUCCACAGCCCGGGAGGGCAAAGGCAAUUAUUGGGCAGCUGCCAUGUACCAGACCCUGGACUACAGACCAGAGAUUAAAAAAAAAAAAAACUCCCCCCCACCAUGAUUCCCCUGAGCUUACAGCCUACUUAAACUAAGAUCCUAAUGUGUAUUUUAAUUUUGCAUGUCUUGCCUACCUUUAGGUUUUAAGCUACUUGAAAGUCAGGAUAUCUUUUAAUUUUAGUAUUCCCCAUUCUCAGUGAUCAGUCCCUGCCCACAAGGAAUUUGGAGUCUAGAAGAAGAAGGACCGAUUGGUGAACAAUUUAAAUAACAGUAACCCCAAACAAAAUUCAGAACACCUGGUCUGGCUCUGUAGGGUGUACAGUGGGAGACUGGGCUGAAAUAUUUAAAGUGCAGCUGUUCCAGAGAGGACCUAUAGCCCAAUGUGACCAGCCCAGAGGGAGGGAAGGAUUUGCUCCGCCCCUCAUGGUGUUCGAUGGGAAGAGUAGAGCAGGCUGAAGAAAAUUUUGGAGCCCCAAAAAUCAGAGGUACACUUGGGAAAACCUCAAGUUAUCAGUUUUGGGGAGUGUCUUCAGGAACAGGAAGACGUGAUGGAAAAGAAGGUGGAGACCAUGGAGGAUAUUUGUCCAAGGGUAGGAAUCUUCCCCCACCUUUCUGCCUUGCAGCUGGCCAUGAAGAAAUUCUCGGACCUACCUUGUCUGACUGUAGGACAUAAGGCUCAUUUCAGAAAGGGUCCUGCCCCAUACCCUGGAGGAAGAAAGGCUACACGGAGAAGCCAAGAAGAAUCUGAACAGACAGGCCUUGCUGGGUCUCGCCACUCAGUCUCUUAGUAUUAGAUCAUAUACCCUUUUGCCCAAUCACAUUUCCACGUGGUUGUCAAUCAUGCCUAUCCAGUGAAGUUUCCAUAAAAGGCCCAAGAGGACAGGGUUCAGGGGGCUUCUGGAUAGCUGGACAUCUGUGAAGGGUGUGGUAUGCAGGGAGGACACAGAAGCCCUGCACUCCUUCCCCUACCUCACCCCUUGCAUCUCUUCAUCUGUAUACUUUCGGAUAUCCUGUAUACUAAACCAGAAAAUGUAAAAUGUAAGUUUCCCUGAGUUCUAUGAGUUGUUCUAGCAAAUUAAUUGAACCCAAGGAGGGGGUCAUGGGAACCCCAGCUUGAAGCCGGUCAGUCAGAAGUUCUGAAGGCCUUGGCUGUGACUGGCAUCUGAGGGAAGGGCAGCCUUGGGGACUCAGCCAAGAUCUGUGGGAGCUGACGCUAUCUCCAGAUAGACUUGGAGGACACCCAGCUGGGGUCCAGAACUGAUUGCUUGCUUGGUGUGUGGAAAUCGCCCCCUCCCAUAUUUGGUCACAGAAGUCUUCUGUGUUGAUUGUUUUUGUGGUGUGAGAACAGAGGAGAGACAUAGUUUGAGCUGAUUUUUCUACAAACAUGUCAGCACCUAUGAGACUUAGGGUGGCUGGAAUGGUGUAGGCUGACCAAGCCUCUGUUUUUAUUUUUAUAU